AUGUUCCAAAGCCACAACGACCUCGCCACGGUAGAGGGUGAUAAUGCUGGGAGUGGAAGAAUAAAUAGGCGGAGUUCUGCACUUGGACAGCAGUGCACUGGAAGGGACAAGAGGUCAGUCAGCUUUAAGAGGCAUUUUCCAAGUGACUGGCAAAUAAAUGCUUAGCGUUUUCAUCCCAGUUUACCAAGGAAGGGAGAAUGAACUGCAACCAUAUUCUGCUGAGUUUUAAUGGCAGACAGACUUGGUGGAUACCUUUCAGGUUUAUCCAGCUUUAUUCAGCACAUUCUUCUGCCAACUGAGCUGUAAAGUAACACUGUUUGACAAAACCAGCAUAGAUAUCAUGCAAGUCAUUUGACUGUUUCUGCUUUUUCCCACCCCCCACACCCUCUAGCAAAGGGUAGAUUUAACCAAAUGAUAGUAUAAUGCAGAGAUUUUCUUUUUCUUUUUUUUAUGCCAAUCCAGAUUUGGCCAAUCUGGAUUAGCAGUUAAACUGCUUUUUCUUUGGGAUGUUUCCAAGUCUUUCUUCUUUAGCAGAAUUCACUAACCCCUAACAACUAGUGCUUCUCCAUGCUGCAUCUUCCAGAAGUUACAGGGGAGUGGUGAGUGGUGAUGAGUGUAUAAAGUCUGUGAAGUCUGAAGCAAGACUACUUGAAUUCACAUUAUGGCUCUGCCACUGUGUAAUCUUGGGCGAGAUAAUUAACCUAUCAGUUUACUCAUCUAUAAACUAGGAAGCAUUCUGCCUUGUAGGGCUUUUUUUUUUUUAAUUUAUUUUUAUUUUUGAGACAGAGACAGACAGAGCAUGAGCAGGGGAGGGGCAGAGAGAAAGGGAGACACAGAAUCCGAAGCAGGCUCCAGGCUCCGAGCUGUCAGCACAGAGCUUGAUGUGGGGCUCGAACUCAAGGACCGUGAGAUCAUGACCUGAGCCAAAGUAGGACACUCAACCGACUGAGCCACCCAGGAACUCCAACUGCCUUGUAGGGUUUUUAUGCAGUUCAAUGUGCUGAUGCAGUCAUAUCACUUAACAGAAUGCCUUGAAUAGUAUAGGAAAAGCUCUAAACACUCUCUCUCUCUCUCUCUCUCUCUCUCUCUCUCUCUCUCUCCAUAUAUAUAUGUGUGUGUGUGUGUGUGUGUGUGUGUGUGUGUGUGUGUGUAUGCUGUUAUUGUA
RNAcentral lists this long non-coding RNA (1165 nucleotides) under Felis catus (domestic cat). Its description in RNAcentral is "lncRNA (ENSFCAG00000048725.1)". Lineage: Eukaryota; Metazoa; Chordata; Mammalia; Carnivora; Felidae. The record is from RNAcentral.